RNAcentral lists this ribosomal RNA (270 nucleotides) under uncultured bacterium. RNAcentral describes it as "partial 16S ribosomal RNA". It matches the Rfam family "Bacterial small subunit ribosomal RNA", at positions 524 to 795 of the family's 1533-position model. The record is from RNAcentral.
UACGGAGGGGGUUAGCGUUGUUCGGAAUUACUGGGCGUAAAGCGCACGUAGGCGGAUCAGAAAGUUGGGGGUGAAAUCCCGGGGCUCAACCCCGGAACUGCCUCCAAAAACUCCUGGCUUGAGUUCGAGAGAGGUGAUGGAAUUCCGAGUGUAGAGGUGAAAUUCGUAGAUAUUCGGAGGAACACAGUGGCGAAGGCGGCUCACUGGCUCGAUACUGACGCUGAGGUGACGAAAGUGUGGGGAGCAAACAGGAUUAGAUACCCUGUAGUC